UGAGUAACACGUAUCCAACCUGCCGUCUACUCUUGGACAGCCUUCUGAAAGGAAGAUUAAUACAAGAUGGCAUCAUGAGUCCGCAUGUUCACAUGAUUAAAGGUAUUCCGGUAGACGAUGGGGAUGCGUUCCAUUAGAUUGUAGGCGGGGUAACGGCCCACCUAGUCUUCGAUGGAUAGGGGUUCUGAGAGGAAGGUCCCCCACAUUGGAACUGAGACACGGUCCAA
This 227-nucleotide ribosomal RNA is filed under the name uncultured bacterium. Its description in RNAcentral is "partial 16S ribosomal RNA". It matches the Rfam family "Bacterial small subunit ribosomal RNA", at positions 107 to 334 of the family's 1533-position model. The record is from RNAcentral.